CUGCAUUGGUCGGUUCAUCACAAAACGGUUCAUCGACUGUCAACUGCAGCAUUGUGAAACAAGUCAUUUGCUACAGGUAAUACAAAUAUAGUAUGCCGUCCAGAAGAUACGAACGGUUGAUAAAUGACAGAACAUUCGCUGACCAAACAGUUAGUAUUGAACUGCGGUCGCGUUGUGAAUGUGCUCUGGUUUGUUUCUUGCUUGUCAACUGCACGACUAUUAACGUCUAUAAGAAUGGUAGGACAUUUAAUUGUUAUCAGAGUGAGAAAAGGGCAACGUGUAUGGAGAAGGAGGAGGUUGAAAUUAAAGCAGGAUACGCUAUGUACGAAAUCAUGCUUAAUUUUGAAUUCACACCAUUAAGUGACAUUGUGACUGAGCUCAACACAGUAUGGUAUAAGUUAUUUGUCACAUUUUAAAUAGUUUUCCAGGAAAAGAAUGUAAAAAAAUUCGUGCUUCGUGGCCGACUGUUGUUCAAACCGCCAGCCUCGGUCACGGUGGCUAAAGAUCAAUACAUGCCAUACUUGUAUGAUCAGGAAUCGAUGUCAAUCAUAUUCAUUAAUCAAUUCAAACAUAAGCUAGUAUUUGAGAUGAGAUAUAUACUUGUUUACCGAUUUGAGGUCGACUUUUACCGACUCGUUCAGAACACAUCCGUGGGUCUGUAUGUGAAGAAGCAUUAUCGAAUGUGUGCCAUGAAGCUGAUAUUUCUAGAUAAUAUUGGAAGGAGAGGCCGCUCGAGGUAUGUUAUUAUACCAUUUGACGUAAUGACCGGCAAUCUAACACAUUUCUACCUUCCGCGGGUCCAUCCAUGUUCGAGUCCAAGAAAAUGUAAACAAAUGCUGGACCCACAAAUUACAAAGGAUCAUAUGUUGAUUUCCUGUUUUGAUAAUUUGAAGAGGGAAUAUAUAAGUACCUUAUUCAAUAUAACAUGGAGACCGGGACAAUGUGUUGUUUCUUCUGGCUUCAGUUGGCAUACACGAAAACCUGCCAUGUACAUACAGCGCAUUCAAGAUGGCAGUAUUAUCUGCUCAGAAAUGUUACCCAGGGGAAUAAGAAUUCGUCAUGUCAACUCAGCGAUGUCGCCGAGAACAUUCCAUGACCCACUUCAAUACAACCUUUUUCUACUCGCUUAUUAUGUAAAGCCGUCAUCGUUUUUGAUAGCUUUUUCAUCCGAAUAUUGGAUGCAACCAAUUGUCAUCAAGAUUAUUAAUAUUGCAUGUAUACGCAUCCCCGCGCAUGCCUGGUAUAAGAAAUAUAUAUUUUGUACAGAGGUGAAAGUCAUAAUUAACUGCCAUUAUCAAAUCAAAAACGGUCGCCUAGGUGUUGUCGAAAGGCAAAUCCUAAUGCAACAUACUGGCAACCUGAUUGAACCAGUUCCGUUUAUUCACAAUAGUACCGUUAGGACCGUCAGGUUUUCGAAACUAUACGAAAAUGUUAUUGCGUAGAACAAGCGUUAGAGAAUGAUCCGAUCUCGACUGUCAACAUGAGGAAGGAGGAUUGUGGGAGCAUUAAUGUCAUGCAUGGCAGGUGGUCAUCUAGGGAUGUUUAUGAGCCCGUUGGUGUUAUAUUGUGACUCAAAAACACAACGAGCAACCAUUAGACAUGAAACAGUUACAAGAUAUAUCGAUUCGGUGCAGUAGUUUUGGCCUGAAAUCCAAUUUUGUGAAGCAAUUUUGUGAGUAAUUUUAAAGCUGUUCCAAUUCUUCCGAUUUCAAUUACUACUGAUGAAUUUGCUUCAUAAAUGAGUCUAUGGCGCUGAUACUAUGAGACCGAAUCAAGAUAUCAUGGUAGCGUUUAUCCUCCAAAAAGAUGACCUCACACAGAAAUUCAUACUUAUUACCAUCCAACAGUACCGGAGGAGGGUAUAGUAUUGUGUUAUAAAAUGGUAGUACAAUCUAAUUCGUUUUUCACCAGGACUGUUCUUCGCACUUUUCUCGCAUGAUUUGAGUCUUCUAUUGCAGAUAAAUGUUUGCUAGUGGCAGGUGCCAGAAUUGUUAUUUAUGCCACUCAAAUUAUUGUAUCUGAACCAAUAUGAUUUUGAUCUUCAUCAUAAAAUCAGAGCAAAUACCAUUGACCAUCAAACAAGCUUGAUACAAUUUACUCUUCCAGGAAAAAACUGUACUGAAGUUUAAGCGUCGCGGCACCCUGCCUUUCAAACCUGCUGUCUCUUCCGUAUUAGCAAAAAAUGAACACUUGGUUUAUCUCCAUGAUCAUGACUCUGAUGCUAUUGUAUUCAUCCACAAAUUCAAGGACAAAUACGUUACUAAGUUAACAGCAAUUCUUGUUUACCAAUUAGUAGAACAUAAUUACUGGCCCCAGGAUUAUCGGCUUGUUAACAACUUGUCUGCCUUGUCAGUGGAAUGCGAGAAUCAAGCGUCUUUCUUCCAUGAUAUGAAGCUCCUUCUUCUGGAUAGUGAACGAAUCGGACCGCGGAAUAAACCCAUACUCCAGUUGUUUGACAUUGUCACGGGCCAGUUAAGACCGAUAAUUUUUCCCAGGGGGCACCCUUGUUUUAUUGCGGAUGGGAUUCAGGAGCCAGCUAUAUAUCUUGACAAAGCGGUGUUUAUAUGUAAAGAUGAAGCUGGUCUAAUGGAUGUUCUCGUGUCUAAUAUAACAUGGCGCCACGGAGAGAUGGUCGUUUCAGCAGGGAAUCGGUUGCACAGGGGCUUGGCACCAGUUUCCCCGAUAUACAUCACGGAAAACCGUGAGGUAAUUAUUGUGGCUUCUCAUCCUCAUGGUGAACGAGAGGGCAUUCUAACCAUUAGUCACAAGUUCCCACCGAGGACGAACCACCCACAACAAACGUUCAGAAUCAAGAUUCAGAAACAACAACAUAAGACUACAAAGGAUUUUCACGCAAAGCAAUCAACAGUUUUGAUAGUCAGCUUUACCAAAUUAUGCAAGGCGAUUCUCGUUCAGAUGUUUAAACUUCUCUGUGUGCCAAUGGAACCUUUGAUAAUCAAACGGUUGUUUUGUAAAAGGUUUAACGUGGUAACAAUUUUUUAUAUUCAUUGUUCGGAAAGUGAAUUCAAUGAAGAUACUACUCUAUUCAUCAUUCUAUUGCUCAGUAAUGGCGAUAUAGUUUCGCCAGUAGCUUCUGUUGAGCAAAGCGGCAGAGACAAAACAAGGAAAAUAUUUAGGUAUUCUGAACUCUUCACACAGGUUAAGUGAGUCGUCUGAUAAAAGGUUUCAGCCGAUACCGCCAUGGAAUCGCAAAAAGAGCCAAGUUCACGUUUGUUAAAUUAAGUUUAACAUAUUUUGGAAUAACAGAAAUGGGUUCCAUCAACAAAGAGGUUAAUUUCUAAAACGCAAGUUCUUGCGAGUCUAUAAUUGAUAGCAAAGAACUUGCUAUCAUUAUCAUCAUCAUCAUCAUCAUCAUCAUCAUCAUCAUCUUCAUCAUCAUCAUGAACAGCGGCGUCAUGGCCCUUCUGUGUAUUUGCCAUUGAUGUGUUGCUGUAAAAUUGUGUAUCGUAAUGGAAAAGUCUUAAAACAAAAAUCCUGCAUGACCCUUAUAAGAAACUGAGACGGUUAGGAAUCUUACAAGACUCUUACCAAGAUAUUCAUCCUUGUGAGAGCGAGGAUUCACACUUGAUGCGCGCAGACCUUCACCCUUUCGUAUCCUUGACGGCUUCAGGAAUCGCAAACUUUUUCCAACUUGAUUUGGCCUACAUUAACCCGAAAAUGGCAUAGUGUACUCAAAUUUGAAGCGAGUGGUGCCAAAUAUAUGUAGUCACUCAAAGCUCACUUAAUACCAUACAAGACGACAACACUUUAAGAGCUCUGAGAAUAACCUCAGGUCGAUAAGGCCCUCUCGACAAGCAUGGAUGUGUAAAUGGCCAGUUCUCAUUGAAGGCGGUUCGAAGUUCCAAUGCAGUUUACUCGACAACUGUUCAACACAAUUGCCUCUAAAUGGCCCUGAUAUCGAACGAACAGUUUGCAAGUAAGACACUCGUGGUAGUAGAAUCUUCGCCAAAAUAAAGGGUGCUGCCACCCUGAAAAUGACAUCAUACGACAAAAGUGUCAAAUGCAGCAAAGUGGUUAUUGAAAGAGAGGUUAUUUUGCUAUGCUCGUUUGGCGAUGAUACAGUAAUAUUCCGGCACUCGGGUAUGGCUGGCGCGAGAAGACAGAAUUCAGAAUUAUGCCACGGCAUAAAUCGGAAUUGUGGUGCACCAUCAAUCGACCAAUCAAAACCUCGGAUCUCGUGAAUUAUGCCGUGGCAUAAAUAGGAAUUGUGGACGGAAGUACGAUUUAUGCCGCACCAUAAAUAAACGAUUGCCACUUUCUAAUUGGUCUAAUUAUGCCACACAACAAUUCCUAUUUAUGCCGUGGCAUAAUUCUGAAUUCUGCCACAGCAUAAUUCACGCGAUCCGAUGUUUUGAUUGGUUGAUUUAUGGUGCACUACAAUUCCUUUUUAUGC
This is an RNA transcript of Lineus longissimus, 4414 nucleotides long. RefSeq lists it as uncharacterized. The transcript is spliced from 2 exons. NCBI's taxonomy places the organism in Eukaryota, Metazoa, Nemertea, Pilidiophora, Heteronemertea, Lineidae. The record is from RefSeq and is a predicted model, not a curated record.